Long non-coding RNA from Cebus imitator (Panamanian white-faced capuchin), 598 nucleotides. RefSeq lists it as uncharacterized. The transcript has 3 exons. The record is from RefSeq and is a predicted model, not a curated record. NCBI's taxonomy places the organism in Eukaryota, Metazoa, Chordata, Mammalia, Primates, Cebidae.
UGCACUCCAGCCUGGGCAACAAGAGCUAAACUCCGUCUCAAAAAAAGAAAGAAAACUAGCAAUGGCAGCGUUUCUUCCCCAGCUCCAGCCGACAGAGAACACGGCGUCUGGCAGCCCGGAGAGGGGCCCCAAGGCGCUCGGAGCGCGCGGCACGCUAAGGCGGACGCACAGCGAGGGGACAGAUAAGGAAAUUGCGGCCCAAAUAUUUGAGGGAAUCUACCCGAAGCCACAUGGUGAUGUCCAGAGCAUAUGCAAGCUCCUCCGACCCCCAGCAUCACUGCAGACAGUGGUGUCAAGCACUCCCAUGCCGGAGGGAGGGACAGCACAUUAACAGACGUCAGUACCAACAACGGCCAGCAGUCUAGGCGUCCAGUCCAUUUAUCUGCAUCGCUCUAUUUCAUCCUCCCAACUCUUUUAAAACAGAUAUUUUUGUACCCAUUUUGCAGAUGGGGAAACUGGGGCUCAGAUUAAUCAGUUCCACUGCCAGAAGGCAAUGGAACCGUGUUUGAACUCAGCCUGAUAGCAAUCUCUGAGCCCAUUUCCUCACCUGUAAAGUAGGUAUAAUGACAGUGCUGUCUGGCCAGGCGCCGUGGGCUCA